Molecule: signal recognition particle RNA, 101 nt
Filed under: Candidatus Thermokryptus mobilis
Lineage: Bacteria; Pseudomonadati; Candidatus Kryptoniota
Description: signal recognition particle sRNA small type
Rfam family: Bacterial small signal recognition particle RNA
About the family: The signal recognition particle (SRP) is a universally conserved ribonucleoprotein involved in the co-translational targeting of proteins to membranes. Archaeal SRP consists of a 7S RNA and homologues of the eukaryotic SRP19 and SRP54 proteins.
Source: RNAcentral
GGUCAGGUCCUGCGCAACGGGAUGUUGCCAAACCCCGCCAGGCCCGGAAGGGAGCAACGGUAGGCAAAUUAUUCCGUGUGACGCAGGGUCGCCUGCCCAUC